Molecule: ribosomal RNA, 259 nt
Filed under: uncultured bacterium
Lineage: Bacteria
Description: partial 16S ribosomal RNA
Rfam family: Bacterial small subunit ribosomal RNA
Source: RNAcentral
GAGAGCCUACGGGGGGCAGCAGUGAGGAAUAUUGGUCAAUGGGCGGAAGCCUGAACCAGCCAAGUCGCGUGAGGGAAUAAGGCCCUACGGGUCGUAAACCUCUUUUGCCGGGGAGCAAGGGCCGGGACGCGUCCCGGCCCGGAGAGUACCCGGAGAAAAAGCAUCGGCUAACUCCGUGCCAGCAGCCGCGGUAAUACGGAGGCUGCGAGCGUUAUCCGGAUUUAUUGGGUUUAAAGGGUGCGUAGGCGGAACAUUAAGU